Molecule: non-coding RNA, 32 nt
Filed under: Mus musculus (house mouse)
Lineage: Eukaryota; Metazoa; Chordata; Mammalia; Rodentia; Muridae
Source: RNAcentral
UAAUCUGGAGAAAAGUCAUGGUGUCAGUUUGU